This 497-nucleotide ribosomal RNA is filed under the name uncultured bacterium. RNAcentral describes it as "partial 16S ribosomal RNA". It matches the Rfam family "Bacterial small subunit ribosomal RNA", at positions 28 to 507 of the family's 1533-position model. The record is from RNAcentral.
GAUGAACGCUGGCGGCGUGCCUAAUACAUGCAAGUCGAGCGGACGGACGAGAAGCUUGCUUCUCUGAUGUUAGCGGCGGACGGGUGAGUAACACGUGGAUAACCUACCUAUAAGACUGGGAUAACUUCGGGAAACCGGAGCUAAUACCGGAUAAUAUUUUGAACCGCAUGGUUCAAAGGUAAAAGACGGUCUUGCUGUCACUUAUAGAUGGAUCCGCGCUGCAUUAGCUAGUUGGUAAGGUAACGGCUUACCAAGGCAACGAUGCAUAGCCGACCUGAGAGGGUGAUCGGCCACACUGGAACUGAGACACGGUCCAGACUCCUACGGGAGGCAGCAGUAGGGAAUCUUCCGCAAUGGGCGAAAGCCUGACGGAGCAACGCCGCGUGAGUGAUGAAGGUCUUCGGAUCGUAAAACUCUGUUAUUAGGGAAGAACAUAUGUGUAAGUAACUGUGCACAUCUUGACGGUACCUAAUCAGAAAGCCACGGCUAACUACGUG